Molecule: long non-coding RNA, 2432 nt
Filed under: Medicago truncatula (barrel medic)
Lineage: Eukaryota; Viridiplantae; Streptophyta; Magnoliopsida; Fabales; Fabaceae
Description: long non-coding RNA (MTRU_LNC008317)
Source: RNAcentral
CACGAAGGGCUAUAAAUACCAUCAUUUUUAAGGCAUCACGAAAACCCUAAUUUCUAACAUUAUACUCACUCCAAGUACACAUAUAUACCUCAUCUUAUCACAUCAUUUCUCAUAAACUCAUUUCCUUUUUCAUCUUCUUCUCCCCACCAUGUUCUGCAUAAUUGAUUCUCCAAUCUUAUUGUUACAAAGCCUAUUAAUAAUAGAAAUGGUAAGAAUUCUUCUAUUUUUUUAACCAUCUACGAAGCUUAUUUAAUCAGGUUCCUUUUGCCAUGUGAACAAUCAGAAACAAAUCGAAAAACAUGAAUACUAAUUUCUUUUAUUGUUGUUUCAAUGGCUGGAGAUCGUGAAUUGCAUGUGGAGAACAAUUGAGUUUUUUUUAUUUAUACUCAUCAAAGUACAGUUUUAUUAACUGACCAUAAAAUCCUCACUAUUGGAGGAUUAUGUUACCGAUCCCUAAAAGAACAAAAUCAAUUGAAGCAUUCAUUGUAACAUUCAACAAGAAUUCCCAAAUGAGUUUAUAAGAAUUGAUCUAACAAUGUGAAGUACAUAUGUGACUUUUUAAUUUCAACCAUUUCAAUAAAAACUUAGCUGAAUAUUUAAAUAAGAUAUUUUAUAAAAAUGUUGUCUUCUUUAGUAAGUUCAUUAUACAAAAUUAUCUAAGCAAUUUCACCCAUUUCAAUGUUGUCUUUUUAAUUUCACUCAUGUAAUUUUGUUAGGUCUCAACAAUUUUAACCUAAUUUUCUCCCGCUCAUUUGUUUUAUUAGGUUUGACAAUAUUUUGUACACUUUCUUUUUUAAGGAAAUAUUAUGUACACUUAUUCAAUACUAAAAAAAAUGGAUUGCACCAAUUUCAUUCCUAUCCUCUUGCCUUUUUUUUUUUUUUUUGCUAUCCUCUUGCCUUCUUUUUUUUUUGACAAUAUUUUGUACACAAUACUAGAAAAAUUCAUCGCAUUAAUUUUAUACCUUUUUUUUUUUUACAAUAUUUUGUACACUUUUUUUUAACCAAUUUCAUGCCUUUAUUUCAUUCCUAUCAUGUUGACUUUUUUUUUGACAAUAUUUUCUACACCUUUUCAAUACGUUUACAAACAGAAUACCUUAAUUUUCUUGAAAACUCGGCUACUCUAAUUUCCAUGUAAACUUGGUUAUAUAUACCAAGCCCUAAACAUGUUUCUCUCAACAAAAAAAAUCCCAUAAACCGUGUAAAAAUUUCACACACAACACAAAAAUCAUAUAUUUUGAUAUUUAGAGUUUUGUAAAUGGAAAGACAUGACAUUACAACUUAUUUUUUUCACUGUUACCAAUUAUAUAUUGUAUUUUAUUAUUCGUAUGUCAAUCUCUUUACAAUAAAUCCGAGCGGAGUACGGGUCAAAAAUCUAGUUUACUUUAACAGUCAUUCUCUUAUUUGAUGAAAUUGAUGUAAAUCUCAUAAUUUGAAAAUGAAUUGCACGUAAAGUUCAGAACUCACUUGAAUUUCAUUCAACAAUAAAGUCGGUAUUAAUUAAAUUAAGUGUUGAAACUCAAAAUUAACCUAUCUAAAAACAAUUUUUCUCACAUUUGAAUUUAUGAAAUAGGCUCUUUUUCUAUAUAUAAGUUCUUAUAUAUAGCUCUUCUAGGAACAAUAAGUAAUCGAAUGGUUGAAAAAAAAAAAAUGUAACUUUCUUUUAUUUUACUAUAAGCAAAAAAAGAAUACAAUCCCUUUUCAAUUUUAUCAUUAUCCAAUAGUUCCAAACUUGUUUUCCUAUAUCAAAACUAAAAGGUUUGUCUACAAAUUUUUUAAAUCACUUUAAAAAUGAUUCAACCCACGUAGCAUAAUCCACUUAUUGUUGAUAUUUAUUUCACUGCACCAAAAAUCUUAUAUUGCUUUGAAAUUAAAGCUAAGAGUUCAUUUGAUUAGUUAAAAACAGAGGACAAGAUUGGACAAAUUUUUUGUACAUUGUUGGAUUUGAGAAAUUGUUCAUGAAAUUGGAGAAAAUAUGUAGACAAAAACAUGAAAUCUUGUCUCUCAUUAAACUAUGGGAUAACUUUUUAUCCAAAAUACAAACUAUCAAAAAUACCAAAAGUACCUUUCUAAAAAAAAUAUAUACCAAAAUAUCUUUUUUAUUUUCCAACAUAAAAAAACAUUAUCUCUAUAUCUCUCUAGCAUAGUUCAAUCUUUAUUGUUUUGUCACGUGUUAGUUAUAUCAAAUACUUACUAUUUUGCAAAUCAAACGUACUCUAAGAGUAAUUUCUAAAAAUCUACUUCCCUCAAUUCACUAGGAUGCCAUAAUCAAAGAUAAUAUCGUAAUGACCGCAUUUAAACCGAGAUAAUACCGUAAAAAAAGAUGCAAAUCGGGCAAUACCUCGAAAACAAUGGUGUAGCAAACUUGAGAUCGGAACAUCAAAACAUUGGUGUGCCAUGUAAGGAGGCUUAAGCGACACACAAGGCUGUAGCCU